CCUACGGGAGGCAGCAGUGAGGAAUAUUGGUCAAUGGACGAGAGUCUGAACCAGCCAAGUAGCGUGAAGGAUGACUGCCCUAUGGGUUGUAAACUUCUUUUAUAUGGGAAUAAAAUGUUCCACGUGUGGGAUUUUGUAUGUACCAUAUGAAUAAGGAUCGGCUAACUCCGUGCCAGCAGCCGCGGUAAUACGGAGGAUCCGAGCGUUAUCCGGAUUUAUUGGGUUUAAAGGGAGCGUAGGUGGAUUGUUAAGUCAGUUGUGAAAGUUUGCGGCUCAACCGUAAAAUUGCAGUUGAUACUGGCAGUCUUGAGUACAGUAGAGGUGGGCGGAAUUCGUGGUGUAGCGGUGAAAUGCUUAGAUAUCACGAAGAACUCCGAUUGCGAAGGCAGUUCACUGGACUGCAACUGACACUGAGGCUCGAAAGUGUGUGUAUCAAACAGGAUUAGAUACCCUUGUAGUC
This 460-nucleotide ribosomal RNA is filed under the name uncultured bacterium. RNAcentral describes it as "partial 16S ribosomal RNA". It matches the Rfam family "Bacterial small subunit ribosomal RNA", at positions 338 to 795 of the family's 1533-position model. The record is from RNAcentral.